Molecule: long non-coding RNA, 225 nt
Filed under: Homo sapiens (human)
Lineage: Eukaryota; Metazoa; Chordata; Mammalia; Primates; Hominidae
Description: non-protein coding lnc-POU2F2-1:3
Source: RNAcentral
CCUACCCCAUGAGUACGCCGGUGAUAAAGGAACUUGGUAAGGUUGACAAAGGUCUUCCCACAUGGACAUGAAUGCAGAGGAUUCGGGGUGUGGGCUCGCCGGUGGGCCAGGAGGAGGGCCUCUGUGCCGAAGGCCAGGCCACAGUCUACACACAGGAAGUGUGACUCGCUGCUAUGGUCUCCAAGGUGCUGGUCCAGACUGGAAGGGCUAGGGAAGACACGACUG